AUGUUAAUUUUAAUAACAGUGUGUGUCAGAUGGUGUCAGGUGCUCACUCAGAAACCCUCCAUAAUGACUGAAGACAAGGGCAGAUCUGUGACUCUGGACUGUAAUAUUGAGAAAGAUGAGAAUUAUGUCAGCUGGCAUAAACAGACUCCAAACGCAGCUCCUCAGUUUGUGUUGAGAUAUUAUCAUUCUCUCAGCUCACCUGAUAGAUAUGGGGAUGGUUUUACCUCCAGCCGCUUCACAUCUAAAGCUCAGUCUAAAAUUGACUAUAGUCUGAUCAUCAGUAAUGUGGAUGUGAGUGAUUCUGCAGUGUAUUACUGUCAGACAUGGGACAGCUCUGUUAGUGAGGGCGUAUCACAGUGA
RNAcentral lists this long non-coding RNA (360 nucleotides) under Danio rerio (zebrafish). RNAcentral's name for it is "lncRNA linc-iglc3 (ENSDARG00000069839.6)". Lineage: Eukaryota; Metazoa; Chordata; Actinopteri; Cypriniformes; Danionidae. The record is from RNAcentral.